UGGGGAAUAUUGCACAAUGGGCGAAAGCCUGAUGCAGCGACGCCGCGUGAGGGAUGACGGCCUUCGGGUUGUAAACCUCUUUCGACAGGGACGAAGCGUAAGUGACGGUACCUGUAGAAGAAGCACCGGCCAACUACGUGCCAGCAGCCGCGAUAAUACGUAGGGUGCGAGCGUUGUCCGGAAUUACUGGGCGUAAAGAGCUUGUAGGCGGUUUGUCGCGUCGUCUGUGAAAACUCACAGCUCAACUGUGAGCUUGCAGGCGAUACGGGCAGACUUGAGUACUGCAGGGGAGACUGGAAUUCCUGGUGUAGCGGUGAAAUGCGCAGAUAUCAGGAGGAACACCGGUGGCGAAGGCGGGUCUCUGGGCAGUAACUGACGCUGAGAAGCGAAAGCGUGGGUAGCGAACAGGAUUAGAUACCCUGGUAGUCCACGCCGUAACGGUGGGUACUAGGUGUGGGUUUCCUUCCACGGGAUCCGUGCCGUAGCUAACGCAUUAAGUACCCCGCCUGGGGAGUACGGCCGCAAGGCU
RNAcentral lists this ribosomal RNA (529 nucleotides) under uncultured bacterium. RNAcentral describes it as "bacterial SSU rRNA". It matches the Rfam family "Bacterial small subunit ribosomal RNA", at positions 355 to 895 of the family's 1533-position model. The record is from RNAcentral.